GGGGCAACCCCUGAGUAAAGCGGCGGACGGGUGAGGAACACGUAGGUAAUCUGCCCUUCGAUGGAGGACAACGGUCCGAAAGGACCGCUAAUACUGCAUACGUUUCCCGGGAUUCCGGUCCUGGGAAGGAAAGUCUCGCAAGGGACGUCGAAGGAGGAGCCUGCGUCGCAUCAGCUAGUUGGUGGGGUAACGGCCUACCAAGGCGAAGACGCGUAGCUGGUCUGAGAGGAUGAUCAGCCACACUGGGACUGAGACACGGCCCAGACUCCUACGGGAGGCAGCAGUGGGGAAUAUUGGACAAUGGGCGAAAGCCUGAUCCAGCCACGCCGCGUGAGUGAUGAAGGCCUUCGGGUCGUAAAGCUCUGUGGGGAGGGACGAACGUCCCCGUGAAGAACGGGGGGUGACGGUACCUCCUUAGCAAGCACCGGCUAACUUCGUGCCAGCAGCCGCGGUAA
This 455-nucleotide ribosomal RNA is filed under the name uncultured prokaryote. Its description in RNAcentral is "bacterial SSU rRNA". It matches the Rfam family "Bacterial small subunit ribosomal RNA", at positions 76 to 523 of the family's 1533-position model. The record is from RNAcentral.